UAUCAGCUUUCGACGGUAAGGUAUUGGCUUACCGUGGCAGUGACGGUUAACGGGGAAUUAGGGUUCAAUUCCGGAGAGGGAGCCUGAGAAACGGCUACCACAUCUAAGGAAGGCAGCAGGCGCGCAAAUUACCCAAUUCUAACAGCAUAAGAGAGGUAGUGACAAGAAAUAACAGUACAAGGCAGUUAAAAUGCUUUGUAAUUGGAAUGAUAGAAAUUUAAAUACUUUUUAAAGUAUCAAUUGGAGGGCAAGUCUGGUGCCAGCAGCCGCGGUAAUUCCAGCUCCAAUAGCGUAUAUUAAAAUUGUUGCAGUUAAAAAGCUCGUAGUUGAAUUUUUGCUAAAAAUAACCGGUCUGCUUUUAUUAAUAAAAGUGGUAUCUUGGUGUGUUUUUAGCAAUAAUGUCCUUUGAAAUGUUAUUUACUUCAAUGUAAAAAGCAAUUUUCAGGAUUUUUACUUUGAGAAAAUUAGAGUGUUUCAAGCAGACUAACGUUUUGAAUACUGCAGCAUGGAAUAAUAAAAUAGGAUUUUAGUUCUACGUUAUUGGUUUUAAGAACUAAAUUAAUGAUUGAUAGGAGCAGUUGGGGGCAUUUGUAUUUAACUGUCAGAGGUGAA
Molecule: ribosomal RNA, 612 nt
Filed under: Hepatozoon sp.
Lineage: Eukaryota; Apicomplexa; Hepatozoidae
Description: SSU rRNA
Rfam family: Eukaryotic small subunit ribosomal RNA
Source: RNAcentral